AGCAUGCGGAUUAAUUCGAUGCAACGCGAAGAACCUUACCAAGGCUUGACAUAUUCGAGAACGGGCCAGAAAUGGUCAACUCUUUGGACACUCGUUUACAGGUGGUGCAUGGUUGUCGUCAGCUCGUGUCGUGAGAUGUUCGGUUAAGUCCGGCAACGAGCGCAACCCUCGUCCUAUGUUGCCAGCACGUUAUGGUGGGAACUCAUGGGAUACUGCCGUGGUCAACACGGAGGAAGUGGGGAUGACGUCAAAUCAUCAUGCCCCUUAUGUCUUGGGCUUCACGCAUGCUACAAUGGCCGGUACAAAGGGCUGCGAUACCGCGAGGUGGAGCGAAUCCCAAAAAGCCGGUCUCAGUUCGGAUUGGGGUCUGCAACUCGACCCCAUGAAGUCGGAGUCGCUAGUAAUCGCAGAUCAGCAACGCUGCGGUGAAUACGUUCCCGGGCCUU
This 446-nucleotide ribosomal RNA is filed under the name uncultured Leucobacter sp. RNAcentral describes it as "bacterial SSU rRNA". It matches the Rfam family "Bacterial small subunit ribosomal RNA", at positions 936 to 1382 of the family's 1533-position model. The record is from RNAcentral. Lineage: Bacteria; Bacillati; Actinomycetota; Actinomycetes; Micrococcales; Microbacteriaceae.